This 489-nucleotide ribosomal RNA is filed under the name uncultured Lachnospiraceae bacterium. Its description in RNAcentral is "partial 16S ribosomal RNA". The record is from RNAcentral. Lineage: Bacteria; Bacillati; Bacillota; Clostridia; Lachnospirales; Lachnospiraceae.
CACGUAGUUAGUCGGGGCUUCUUAGUCGGGUACCGUCUUCUUUCUUCCCUGCUGAUAGGGCUUUACAUACCGAAAUACUUCUUCACCCACGCGGCGUCGCUGCAUCAGGGUUUCCCCCAUUGUGCAAUAUCCCCCACUGCUGCCUCCCGUAGGAGUCUGGGCCGUGUCUCAGUCCCAAUGUGGCCGUCCGCCCUCUCAGGCCGGCUACCGAUCGUCGCUUUGGUGGGCCCUUACCCCGCAACUGGCUAAUCGGACGCGGAUCCAUCGCUUGCCGGAUUUCUCCUUUUCGCACUCUGCCAUGCGGCACCGUGCGCUUAUGCGGUAUUAGCGGCUGUUUCCAGCCGGUAUCCCCCUGCAUGCGGCAGGUUAUCCACGCGUUACUCACCCGUCCGCCACUCGGACAGACUUCACUAGGUUUCCGUCUGUCCCCGUUCGACUUGCAUGUGUUAGGCACGCCGCCGGCGUUCAUCCUGAGCAGGAUCAAACUCU